ACUGCUUUUCUUUGAAUAUCCCCAAGAUUGAGGAAGCCCGAUAGUCACCAAUUUGGUUUUAACUAUCGGGUUUUUUAUU
This 79-nucleotide small RNA is filed under the name Morganella morganii. Its description in RNAcentral is "RybB RNA". It matches the Rfam family "RybB RNA". From Rfam's summary of the family: This ncRNA was identified in a large scale screen of E. coli. The function of this short RNA is unknown. The exact 5' and 3' ends of this RNA are uncertain. Lineage: Bacteria; Pseudomonadati; Pseudomonadota; Gammaproteobacteria; Enterobacterales; Morganellaceae. RNAcentral also lists the same sequence under 1 other name. The record is from RNAcentral.